RNAcentral lists this non-coding RNA (23 nucleotides) under Cricetulus griseus (Chinese hamster). Lineage: Eukaryota; Metazoa; Chordata; Mammalia; Rodentia; Cricetidae. The record is from RNAcentral.
UCUUCUGGCCUGCAGAAACACAU